Nicotiana tabacum (common tobacco) is the source of this 710-nucleotide long non-coding RNA. RefSeq lists it as uncharacterized. Lineage: Eukaryota; Viridiplantae; Streptophyta; Magnoliopsida; Solanales; Solanaceae. The record is from RefSeq and is a predicted model, not a curated record.
AAAAAAACCACAUCUGACCAAAAGCACAUUAGAAACCUAAUAAAAAAACCACAUCUGACCAAAAGCGUCGUUCCCCCCUCACCCAUCUUCUUUUUCCUCACUUCUAACCUAAAAACACAAAAAAAAUCAAGACCCUCAUCUCUAUCCUGGCAACGGCACAGACCCCCCACCUCUUCUUUUCCAUUCCCUCGUUACCCUCACUCAACACUCAAUCACACACACAUACACGCCUGGACUACUGAGAGAAGAAGUUUGCACUUCAAAAUUUAAGAUCUAGAAAACUAAAAAAAAAUCGAAAAAAGGGAUUAAAAGGUUGUUUGAAUUUUGCUUCAUGGCUUUAUCGUUUCUGACUUUACAAGACUUUUUUCUAGUUAUAUGUUUGCUGGUUUGUUGCUGCUUCCGCUGGUGGAUCUCACUCUUUAUUCCAGACCUUGCUUGGUCAUUUAGUGUUAUUUUUACAGCUUCUAGAUUCGAUGUGAAAGGAGGCCGAUUCGAGGGGCAAAGGCAUCGCGAGUUAGAGAUUUGACCUGUUCGAGAUUCAGGCGUUGUGGAUCCUGCAAGUGUAAGUUGAGAGCUCCUAGCACAUAUUAGAGACCACGAGGUAGUUGUUUGAUGUCCGUAGUCAUGUGUUUCUCCCUCUUUAUCAUUUCUAUCUUGUAUCAGACAUUUGUAAUAGUUAUAGACUUUUCAGACUUGUAUUAUGUUUUAUA